This is a non-coding RNA of Acanthosepion pharaonis, 113 nucleotides long. The record is from the annotation of a GenBank genome assembly. NCBI's taxonomy places the organism in Eukaryota, Metazoa, Mollusca, Cephalopoda, Sepiida, Sepiidae.
UUACGGCCACAUCACGUUGAAACACAGAUUCCCAUACGAUCAGCGAAAUUAAUCAACGUCGAGCCUGUUCAGUACCUUGAUGGGUGUCUACUUGGGAAUACCAGAUUCUGUAA